This 273-nucleotide ribosomal RNA is filed under the name uncultured bacterium. RNAcentral's name for it is "partial 16S ribosomal RNA". It matches the Rfam family "Bacterial small subunit ribosomal RNA", at positions 524 to 796 of the family's 1533-position model. The record is from RNAcentral.
UACGGAGGAUCCGAGCGUUAUCCGGAUUUAUUGGGUUUAAAGGGUGCGUAGGCGGCUUGAUAAGUCAGUGGUGAAAGUUUGCGGCUUAACCGUAAAAUUGCCAUUGAUACUGUCGGGCUUGAGUACAGAUGAGGUAGGCGGAAUGUGUCAUGUAGCGGUGAAAUGCAUAGAUAUGACACAGAACACCGAUUGCGAAGGCAGCUUACUAAAGUGUAACUGACGCUGAGGCACGAAAGCGUGGGGAUCAAACAGGAUUAGAAACCCCCGUAGUCC